GACGAACGCUGGCGGCGUGCUUAACACAUGCAAGUCGAACGGAAAGGCCCUGCUUGCAGGGUACUCGAGUGGCGAACGGGUGAGUAACACGUGGGUGAUCUGCCCUGCACUUCGGGAUAAGCCUGGGAAACUGGGUCUAAUACCGGAUAGGAGCCAUUUUUAGUGGGAUGGUUGGAAAGUUUUUUGGGUGUAGGAUGAGCUCGCGGCCUAUCGGCUUGUUGGUGGGGUAAUGGCCUACCAAGGCGGCGACGGGUAGCCGGCCUGAGAGAGUGGACGGCCACAUUGGGACUGAGAUACGGCCCAGACUCCUACGGGUGGCAGCAGGGGGGAAUAUUGCACAAUGGGCGCAAGCCUGAUGCAGCGACGCCGCGUGUGGGAUGACGGCCUUCGGGUUGUAGACUCCUUUCGCUAGGGACGAAGCUUUUUGUGACGGUACCUAGAUAAGAAGCACCGGCUAACUACGUG
Molecule: ribosomal RNA, 465 nt
Filed under: uncultured bacterium
Lineage: Bacteria
Description: partial 16S ribosomal RNA
Rfam family: Bacterial small subunit ribosomal RNA
Source: RNAcentral